UACAGAGACUGCAAGCGUUAUUCGGAUUCACUGGGCGUAAAGGGUGCGCAGGCGGCCGAGUGUGUGAGGCGUGAAAGCCCGGGGCUUGAACCCCGGAAUUGCCACCUCCAAAUACACGGCUAGAGCAUGGAGAGGGUAGCAGGAAUCAUGGUGUAGCAGUGAAAUGCGUAGAUAUCAUGAGGAAUACCAGAGGCGAAGGCGGCUACCUGGACAAUUGCUGACGCUCAGGCACGAAAGCGUGGGGAGCAAAAGGG
This 254-nucleotide ribosomal RNA is filed under the name uncultured bacterium. RNAcentral's name for it is "partial 16S ribosomal RNA". It matches the Rfam family "Bacterial small subunit ribosomal RNA", at positions 524 to 776 of the family's 1533-position model. The record is from RNAcentral.